This 497-nucleotide ribosomal RNA is filed under the name uncultured bacterium. RNAcentral describes it as "partial 16S ribosomal RNA". It matches the Rfam family "Bacterial small subunit ribosomal RNA", at positions 28 to 507 of the family's 1533-position model. The record is from RNAcentral.
GAUGAACGCUGGCGGCGUGCCUAAUACAUGCAAGUCGAGCGAACAGACGAGGAGCUUGCUCCUCUGACGUUAGCGGCGGACGGGUGAGUAACACGUGGAUAACCUACCUAUAAGACUGGGAUAACUUCGGGAAACCGGAUCUAAUACCGGAUCAUAUAUUGAACCGCAUGGUUCAUUAGUGAAAGACGGUUUUGCUGUCCCUUAUAGAUGGAUCCGCGCCGCAUUAGCUAGUUGGUAAGGUAACGGCUUACCAAGGCAACGAUGCGUAGCCGACCUGAGAGGGUGAUCGGCCACACUGGAACUGAGACACGGUCCAGACUCCUACGGGAGGCAGCAGUAGGGAAUCUUCCGCAAUGGGCGAAAGCCUGACGGAGCAACGCCGCGUGAGUGAUGAAGGUCUUCGGAUCGUAAAACUCUGUUAUUAGGGAAGAACAAAUGUGUAAGUAACUAUGCACGUCUUGACGGUACCUAAUCAGAAAGCCACGGCUAACUACGUG